AGAGAGAGACAUGCGCGCAUAUCAAUAAGCGGAGGAAAAGAAACUAACUAAGGAUUCCCUUCAGUAACGGCGAGUGAAGCGGGAAGAGCUCAAAUUUGAAAUCUUCAAGGUUCUACCUUGACGAAUUGUAGUUUAAAGAAGUGUUUUCUGUUGAAGUUUUGGUAAAAGUUCUUUGGAAUAGGACAUCAUAGAGGGUGAGAAUCCCGUAUUUGACCAUUAUUUCCAGCUUUGUGAUACACUUUCAAAGAGUCGGAUUGUUUGGGAAUGCAGUCCAAAAUGGGUGGUAAAUUUCAUCUAAAGCUAAAUAUUGGCGAGAGACCGAUAGCGAACAAGUACCGUGAGGGAAAGAUGAAAAGAACUUUGAAAAGAGAGUUAAACAGUACGUGAAAUUGUCAAAAGGGAAGCGUUUGACACCAGUGUUGUUUUCUCGAAAAUCAAUUAAAAAAGGCAGGAUUUUGUGUUGUAUUGACUUUAUCAGCUUUCUGCACUCUUUUCUUGUCUUUUUUUAAUGCACUUUUCGUUUAACAAGUCAACAUCAAUUUCCUUUGUUGUAAAAGGGUCAUUGGAAGGUGGCUUUCUUUUCGGAGGGAAAGUGUUUAUAGCCUUUGGCCUCUGCAAUCGGAGAGAUUGAGGUCUGCAGCGUAGAUCCUUCGGGGUUAGAUACAUUUGUGCUAAGUUAUAGCCUUUCAUAGACAACUUGUUGACUAUGAUCAGUCAUGUAGCUUACUCGCUUAUGCUAUUUUACCUACGCUUAGGAUGUUGAUGUGAUACUGCGAGCA
RNAcentral lists this ribosomal RNA (779 nucleotides) under uncultured Neocallimastigales. Its description in RNAcentral is "partial large subunit ribosomal RNA". It matches the Rfam family "Eukaryotic large subunit ribosomal RNA", at positions 23 to 646 of the family's 3401-position model. Lineage: Eukaryota; Fungi; Neocallimastigomycota; Neocallimastigomycetes; Neocallimastigales. The record is from RNAcentral.